GUAGUUCGGAAUUACUGGGCUUAAAGAGUUCGUAGGUGGUUGAAAAAGUUGGUGGUGAAAUCCCAGAGCUUAACUCUGGAACUGCCAUCAAAACUUUUCAGCUAGAGUUUGAUAGAGGAAAGCAGAAUUUCUAGUGUAGAGGUGAAAUUCGUAGAUAUUAGAAAGAAUACCAAUUGCGAAGGCAGCUUUCUGGAUCAUUACUGACACUGAGGAACGAAAGCAUGGGUAGCGAAGAGGAUUAGAUACCCUCGUAGUCCAUGCCGUAAACGAUGUGUGUUAGACGUUGGAAAUUUAUUUUCAGUGUCGCAGCGAAAGCGAUAAACACACCGCCUGGGGAGUACGACCGCAAGGUUAAAACUCAAAUGAAUUGACGGGGACCCGCACAAGUAGUGGAGCAUGUGGUUUAAUUCGAAGAUACGCGCAGAACCUUACCAACACUUGACAUGUUCGUCGCGACUCUAAGAGAUUAGAGUUUUCGGUUCGGCCGGACGAAACACAGGUGCUGCAUGGCUGUCGUCAGCUCGUGUCGUGAGAUGUUGGGUUAAGUCCCGCAACGAGCGCAACCCUCACUUUUAGUUGCCAUCAUUUAGUUGGGCACUCUGAAAGAACUGCCAGUGAUAAGCUGGAGGAAGGUGGGGAUGACGUCAAGUCCUCAUGGCCCUUACGUGUUGGGCUACACACGUGCUACAAUGGUAUCUACAACAGGAAGCAAGACUGCGAGGUCAAGCAAAUCCUUAAAAGAUACCUCAGUUCGGAUUGCACUCUGCAACUCGA
RNAcentral lists this ribosomal RNA (774 nucleotides) under marine metagenome. Its description in RNAcentral is "bacterial SSU rRNA". It matches the Rfam family "Bacterial small subunit ribosomal RNA", at positions 540 to 1315 of the family's 1533-position model. The record is from RNAcentral.